UACGCAGGGUGCAAGCGUUGCUCGGAAUUAUUGGGCGUAAAGGGUUGGUAGGUGGUCUUGUUUGUCUAAGGUGAAAUCCCAUGGCUUAACUGUGGAAGUGCCUUAGAAACGGCAAGACUAGAGUCCUAGAGGGGUUUGUGGAAUUCCCGGUGUAGCGGUGAAAUGCGUAGAUAUCAUGAGGAAUACCAGAGGCGAAGGCGGCUACCUGGACAAUUGCUGACGCUCAGGCACGAAAGCGUGGGGAGCAAAAGGG
Molecule: ribosomal RNA, 253 nt
Filed under: uncultured bacterium
Lineage: Bacteria
Description: partial 16S ribosomal RNA
Rfam family: Bacterial small subunit ribosomal RNA
Source: RNAcentral